CUAGUAGUACACAUAUAAAUGAAGAGAUCUAACACAUAAAACACAUAAAUCAACAACAAAAUCUCUAGAUACAUGCUGGUCAAAUCUUGUCAGAAACCGUGUUCAUAGAUUUUCUGGGUUUCCCAGAAAACCGUAAACGUGAACUACUUAGCUACUUUGACCGGUUACUACUUUCAUCCAGUUUGAUGUACAGGUGAUAUAAAGGCAUGAGGUUGAAGUCCAUCUAACAUACUAUAACACUGAUAUAACAACAUAUACAAAACACGUAUAACCUGCAAGAUCAAAGCCAAAGAACAAGCUGUCAGACCGACCUGGGAAAUUCUGGGUUACCCAGAAAAAGGAAAGUCAUGGUCGGUCAACUAUGUUUGACCAGUCAUAACUUUCGAUCUGUUCAUGUUCUGACUUUGAUUCAAGUUCCAAAUCCAAGAUCUCAUUGCAUAAUACACGAUCAAAGCUUUAAACAACAAAAACACAUAACAUACAAAGGUUUACAGGGUCUGACAUUACGUUGUCAGACACGCAUAAAUUUUUCCCAGAUUUUCUUAAAACUUGAUUUCGAGCAUAUUAAUGUUAUGGAUCUAGGAAGUAACAACCAAGAUCACUUAGUUAGACUACAAACAACAUGUUUUAACAUAAAAUCAUAACAUAUAACACAUUGAUCAAGAUCAGAUUUCUAGUUUAGGGUUUAUACUUCAGUUUAAAAAAUUUGGAUUCUAGGCUUCUGAUUUUGCUAGUGGAUUUUGUGGGGCUUUGUUUUGGAACUGAAAUGCCUUAUAAUUUCAUAGGUUUUGAAAGAGAGAGGAUUGGUUGAGUGUUUGGUCAAAAAAAAAACUUAAAAUGAAUUUUCUCUCUCUCUUUGAUCCUAUAAAUGUCUUGUAUGCAAUGUAUAUGGCUGGUAGAUUGGCUAAGUUGUAUCUAUAUCAUUCAGAUGGGGUUGGUAAGAGUGGUUGAACAAUUCAAAUUUUGCUAGAUUUACAAGUAAACUUCAAUUAUACAAUAAGGGCAAAAUGGUCUUUUGUCUUUCAAAUUUAAUGGCAAGCUUGUAACUUGUCAAACCCUUAGUGUUUGAUCCUUAGGGUUUAACCCUAAGAUUUAGCACAAAAUUGUAGGAUUUCCAACUUGGGUUUAAAAUAAAAAAAAUAGUCUCUAAAUAAAAAUUAGGGUUUUCCUUAAUUAGAUUAGGUUUCUAAUUACAUUAUACAGGAACAUUAGGG
This 1214-nucleotide long non-coding RNA is filed under the name Panax ginseng (ginseng). RNAcentral's name for it is "long non-coding RNA (PGIN_LNC002539)". Lineage: Eukaryota; Viridiplantae; Streptophyta; Magnoliopsida; Apiales; Araliaceae. The record is from RNAcentral.